GCCCUCCUCAGCCGCGUGCCCCCGGACAGCGGCCGCCGCCGCGCCACGUGCAGACGUGGGUGGUUGCGCCGCUGCUGUCUCGCAGCGCCAGGGGCUGCAGCUUCGUCCCCGCAGAGCAAACCCUUCCGGACCCGGCGUGGUGCCCACCCCGGCUCGCGUUCUUCUCCCCACGCGGGAAGAGCGGCUAGGCUGCAGCUUGGAACCGAGAGGAUCCCAGGGUGACUCUAGAGUCGACCGACCUGGACCAGAGCGCGAAGUACCCACACCUGCCUCUUGAGGCUCUGCCUCGUUUGUGGAGACAGGAAACAGCCUGGCACCCCUUGAACUGCUUAGUGAAUUUGUGUUUUCUGGGGUCUUCUGGACGUAGCUGGACUGUACCUGAGCUUCAGGAUGGACACUUUUUGGGUAGUCAAGAGAGAGAGAGGCCUGGGCACCUGCGGCAUCGCACUCCCCCACUUGCUUGGCAGGACGUGCCUCCUUGUUAUCAUUGCCCCAGGAUUCCUGGAGAGCUUGUGGGUCUGAGGCUACUCCUUCCGAACAAAUAGAACAUUCUUUAUUCAUUCUGAGUGUCACUUUCCCCCAGGCACCGUGCUAGACGCUGGGUUACACAAGUGGCUCUCUGGAGCUUUGAAAAAUCGCCGUGCCCGGGCACCACCCCAAAUCAUCAGAAUCUCCCGGGACGGGACACAAGCAUCAGAAUUCUUUCCAGUUCAAGAUGAUUGCAAAAGGCAGUAAAGAUGAGAACCAAAGAGCUUAAAAAUCAGUGAGACUGGCUGAAGAAACGAAUGCUCUAAUCCCUAGAAAAGUACUAGGCCCAUUAUGUUUGAUGCCCAGAGGAUUAACAAUUAUUUUUGUUUUCAUUUUUGCAUCGUAUGAAAGAUUUAUGUUUAUUACUUACGCUGUUUAUUUAAGGGAAUACUCAAAGGAGUGGGUGAGACAGAUUUUCUCCAUUCCUUCACUGAUGAUUUGCUCUCAAUUAUUUGAGCUAAUGGAAAGACAUCUAGGCAGGGAUGAUAUGAAAAAUAGACUUUUCAAGCUUUAUUAGUUUUUUCUUGCAUUUUUGUUAGGAGAUGAGGUUGUCAAAUAAUGAAUUUAUGGACUUGGGGAGUAUCCAUGCAUUGCAAAAAUUCAUACCAAGUGAUCCAUUUUUCGCCUUUGCCUGAACGUUUUAUACCUCAUCUGGAAACUCCUGUUCUCUAAUGUCGCAAUGACACCUGCAUGGUAAUGAGCUGCCGGCUAUUCUGUGGGUACAUCCUUCAAAGCCUUGUCACCCAGUGUUUACUGAGGACCCGAUAUGCACCACACAUUGUGCCAGAACAUAGUGAGUCCUUAUUUAUUUCUACAGACCGGUUACAAAGACUAAGACAAAAACUAAAUAGGUGAAACCCGUGAACAUAAUGUUGAGAGAAUAAAGCAAGUCAGAAGAGAAGGUUGUGACCUGGGAAGAAUCAGCCUACUUUCACUUUUCCUUCUUCCCUGUGCUGGGGUGUGGACAUAAUGGCCCCCUUGAACUCAGAAUUGGAAACUAGAUAGUUGGCUGCCUUACUGGGAAGAGAAUACAUUGACUGCAGUAAGUACAUUCACCUGCCAUUUGGAUUCCUUUUUUUAAAUUUUUUUUUAAUGUUUAUUUAUUUUUGAGACAGAGACAGCAUGAACGGGGGAGGGUCAGAG
Molecule: long non-coding RNA, 1671 nt
Organism: Leopardus geoffroyi (Geoffroy's cat)
Lineage: Eukaryota; Metazoa; Chordata; Mammalia; Carnivora; Felidae
Exons: 3
Source: RefSeq, a predicted model, not a curated record